GGGUGCGUAGCUCAGCGGUAGAGCGCCUGCCUUACAAGCAGGAUGUCGGCGGUUCGACACCGUCCGCGCCCA
This 72-nucleotide transfer RNA is filed under the name Streptomyces ferrugineus. It matches the Rfam family "tRNA". Rfam says of the family: Transfer RNA (tRNA) molecules are approximately 80 nucleotides in length. Their secondary structure includes four short double-helical elements and three loops (D, anti-codon, and T loops). Further hydrogen bonds mediate the characteristic L-shaped molecular structure. tRNAs have two regions of fundamental functional importance: the anti-codon, which is responsible for specific mRNA codon recognition, and the 3' end, to which the tRNAs corresponding amino acid is attached (by aminoacyl-tRNA synthetases). tRNAs cope with the degeneracy of the genetic code in two manners: having more than one tRNA (with a specific anti-codon) for a particular amino acid; and 'wobble' base-pairing, i.e. permitting non-standard base-pairing at the 3rd anti-codon position. RNAcentral also lists the same sequence under 1 other name. The record is from Rfam by way of RNAcentral. Lineage: Bacteria; Bacillati; Actinomycetota; Actinomycetes; Kitasatosporales; Streptomycetaceae.